GCGUUUUUAGUUUAAUGGUAAAAUAUAGAUUUCCAAAAUCUAAGUUAAAAGUUCAAUUCUUUUAAAACGUG
This 71-nucleotide transfer RNA is filed under the name Hepatozoon canis. RNAcentral's name for it is "tRNA-Trp". It matches the Rfam family "tRNA". From Rfam's summary of the family: Transfer RNA (tRNA) molecules are approximately 80 nucleotides in length. Their secondary structure includes four short double-helical elements and three loops (D, anti-codon, and T loops). Further hydrogen bonds mediate the characteristic L-shaped molecular structure. tRNAs have two regions of fundamental functional importance: the anti-codon, which is responsible for specific mRNA codon recognition, and the 3' end, to which the tRNAs corresponding amino acid is attached (by aminoacyl-tRNA synthetases). tRNAs cope with the degeneracy of the genetic code in two manners: having more than one tRNA (with a specific anti-codon) for a particular amino acid; and 'wobble' base-pairing, i.e. permitting non-standard base-pairing at the 3rd anti-codon position. The record is from RNAcentral. Lineage: Eukaryota; Apicomplexa; Hepatozoidae.